UACAGAGGGUGCAAGCGUUAAUCGGAAUUACUGGGCGUAAAGCGUGCGCAGGCGGUUCGCCAAGUCAGGUGUGAAAUCCCCGGGCUUAACCUGGGAAUUGCGCUUGAAACUAGCGGGCUUGAGUGUGGCAGAGGGGGGUGGAAUUCCACGUGUAGCAGUGAAAUGCGUAGAGAUGUGGAGGAACACCGAUGGCGAAGGCAGCCCCCUGGGUCAACACUGACGCUCAUGCACGAAAGCGUGGGGAGCAAACAGG
RNAcentral lists this ribosomal RNA (253 nucleotides) under uncultured bacterium. RNAcentral's name for it is "partial 16S ribosomal RNA". It matches the Rfam family "Bacterial small subunit ribosomal RNA", at positions 524 to 776 of the family's 1533-position model. The record is from RNAcentral.